RNAcentral lists this ribosomal RNA (441 nucleotides) under uncultured bacterium. RNAcentral describes it as "bacterial SSU rRNA". It matches the Rfam family "Bacterial small subunit ribosomal RNA", at positions 958 to 1398 of the family's 1533-position model. The record is from RNAcentral.
AACGCGAAGAACCUUACCUGGGCUCGAAAUGUUAUGGACCGGAGUAGAAAUAUUCCUUCCCAGCAAUGGGCCGUAAUAUAGGUGCUGCAUGGCUGUCGUCAGCUCGUGUCGUGAGAUGUUGGGUUAAGUCCCGCAACGAGCGCAACCCUUAUCCCCAGUUGCCAUCAUUAAGUUGGGCACUCUGGUGAAACCGCCUCGGAUAACGGGGAGGAAGGUGGGGAUGACGUCAAGUCCUCAUGGCCUUUAUGUCCAGGGCUACACACGUGCUACAAUGGCCGGUACAAACCGUCGCAAACCCGUGAGGGGGAGCUAAUCGGAAAAAGCCGGCCUCAGUUCGGAUUAGAGUCUGCAACUCGACUCUAUGAAGCUGGAAUCGCUAGUAAUCGCGGAUCAGAAUGCCGCGGUGAAUACGUUCCCGGGCCUUGUACACACCGAGACGUA